This 557-nucleotide small RNA is filed under the name Pongo abelii (Sumatran orangutan). RNAcentral describes it as "processed transcript". The record is from RNAcentral. Lineage: Eukaryota; Metazoa; Chordata; Mammalia; Primates; Hominidae.
GAACCUUUGCCGCGGCGGUGGCAGGGUACGCGGAACCGCUCCCUCCCAGCCGACUUACGAGAACAUCCCCCGACCAUCCAGCCCCGAGCAGGGACUGGCAGAGCCGGCGCCCCUUCCCCGGACUCCGGCCGCGUAGCCUCCAUCACCACCCCCAGUUCACAGACCUCACGACCUGUGUCAGCAGAGCUGCCCUGCACCGCCAUGUGCAUCAUCUUCUUUAAGUUUGAUCCUCGCCCUGUUUCCAAAAACACGUACAGGCUCAUCUUGGCAGCCAACAGGGACGAAUUCUAUAGCCGACCCUCCAAGUUAGCUGACUUCUGGGGGAACAACAACGAGAUCCUCAGUGGCUGGAGUGCAAUGGUGUGAUCUUGGCUCACUGCAACCUCCACCUCCCAGGUUCAAGCAAUUCUCCUGCCUCAGCCUCCUGAGUAGCUGGAAUUACAGCUGCUUGCCACCAUGCCUAGCUAAUUUUUGUAUUUUUAGUAGAGAUGGGGUUUCACCAUGUUGGCCAGGCUGGUCUCGAACUCCUGACCUCAGGUGAUCCACCUGCCUCCGCC